This 293-nucleotide ribosomal RNA is filed under the name uncultured bacterium. RNAcentral's name for it is "partial 16S ribosomal RNA". It matches the Rfam family "Bacterial small subunit ribosomal RNA", at positions 505 to 796 of the family's 1533-position model. The record is from RNAcentral.
GUUUAAGCAGCCGCGGUAAUACGGGGGGAGCAAGCGUUGUUCGGAUUUACUGGGCGUAAAGGGCGCGUAGGCGGUCAGCACAAGUCAGUUGUGAAAUCUCCGAGCUUAACUCGGAAAGGUCAACUGAUACUGUGCGACUAGAGUGCAGAAGGGGCAACUGGAAUUCUCGGUGUAGCGGUGAAAUGCGUAGAUAUCGAGAGGAACACCUGCGGCGAAGGCGGGUUGCUGGGCUGACACUGACGCUGAGGCGCGAAAGCUAGGGGAGCGAACGGGAUUAGAAACCCGAGUAGUCC